Molecule: ribosomal RNA, 253 nt
Filed under: uncultured bacterium
Lineage: Bacteria
Description: partial 16S ribosomal RNA
Rfam family: Bacterial small subunit ribosomal RNA
Source: RNAcentral
UACGGAGGGUGCAAGCGUUAUCCGGAUUUACUGGGUUAAAGGGUGCGUAGGCGGGCCUUUUAAGUCAGUGGUGAAAGCUCCGAGCUUAACUCGGAAACUGCCAUUGAUACUAUUGGUCUUGAAUUCGGUCGAGGUUGGCGGAAUGUGUCGUGUAGCGGUGAAAUGCUUAGAUAUGACACAGAACACCGAUUGCGAAGGCAGCUAGCUAGACCGACACUGACGCUGAGGCACGAAGCGUGGGGGAUCAAACAGG